AACGAACGCUGGCGGCAUGCCUAACACAUGCAAGUCGAACGAGACCUUCGGGUCUAGUGGCGCACGGGUGCGUAACGCGUGGGAACCUGCCCUUAGGUUCGUAAUAACUCCCCGAAAGGGGUGCUAAUACCGGAUAAUGUCUUCGGACCAAAGAUUUAUCGCCUUUGGAUGGGCCCGCGUUGGAUUAGCUAGUUGGUAGGGUAAAAGCCUACCAAGGCGACGAUCCAUAGCUGGUCUGAGAGGAUGAUCAGCCACACUGGGACUGAGACACGACCCAGACUCCUACGGGAGGCAGCAGUGGGGAAUAUUGGACAAUGGGCGAAAGCCUGAUCCAGCAAUGCCGCGUGAGUGAUGAAGGCCUUAGGGUUGUAAAGCUCUUUUACCCGGGAUGAUAAUGACAGUACCGGGAGAAUAAGCUCCGGCUAACUCCGUG
Molecule: ribosomal RNA, 433 nt
Filed under: uncultured bacterium
Lineage: Bacteria
Description: partial 16S ribosomal RNA
Rfam family: Bacterial small subunit ribosomal RNA
Source: RNAcentral